UACAGAGGUCUCAAGCGUUGUUCGGAUUCAUUGGGCGUAAAGGGUGCGUAGGCGGCGCGGUAAGUCGGGUGUGAAAUCUCGGAGCUCAACUCCGAAAUUGCACUGGAUACUGCUCUGCUUGAGGGUUGGAGAGGAGAUCGGAAUUCACGGUGUAGCAGUGAAAUGCGUAGAUAUCGUGAGGAAGACCAGUGGCGAAGGCGGAUCUCUGGACAAAUCCUGACGCUGAGGCGCGAAGGCUAGGGGAGCAAACGGG
This 253-nucleotide ribosomal RNA is filed under the name uncultured bacterium. Its description in RNAcentral is "partial 16S ribosomal RNA". It matches the Rfam family "Bacterial small subunit ribosomal RNA", at positions 524 to 776 of the family's 1533-position model. The record is from RNAcentral.